RNAcentral lists this long non-coding RNA (676 nucleotides) under Urocitellus parryii (Arctic ground squirrel). RNAcentral's name for it is "lncRNA (ENSUPAG00010003175.1)". Lineage: Eukaryota; Metazoa; Chordata; Mammalia; Rodentia; Sciuridae. The record is from RNAcentral.
GGGGGAGCGCCCUGCGGCCUCGGCUCCGCUCCGGUUCGCCUGGCCGCGCGCGGGCUUCUGGGAGGUGUAGUCCGGCCUUGUCCGCGCAGGCGCACCGCGGCCUGGAGGGCCUAGCGGGUGGGUCAUUGUCCUGGCACGUUUCGCAGUUUUCAGUGGCCCCCUGGACUGGUGUGAGCAGAAGCUGUGUGCUGUGAACAGGGAGGCGCAGACCAAAUGGCCGGCCAGCUCUGUUGGUCCCGCAGGACGGUCCUCUUCCCCUGAUGAUCGUGUCCCGGUGGAGAGAUGGCUGCUCAGCUGCCGACCGACGUACCGCUGGUCGUCCAGCUGCGCUGAAGGCAUGAUCCAGAUUUCCACAGCCACUCUGGAAGCUUCUCUGGAAGAGGCAGAGCAAAUGCAGCUGGGCAGCCCACGAUGGAGCCGGGAUCCUGCCUGGGAGAAGAGGGCUUCUGCAGGGACUCCGUGUACUGCCAUCUCCAAGUCCUGUUCCCUGGGGAGCUCACAGGUCCUGGGGUGGGGAGUGACUGGGUUUGACGACUGUUCUUGACGCCGUUCCUUGCCCGAGGAAGAGUGUGGUGUGUACAGUGUGGGAACGAGGCGUCUCGGCCUUCCUGCCCUAGUGGGCCUGGGGAACGUCGCCCAUCUCGUGUGACAGUGCCAGAUGUGUCAGCUGAUGUCG